Molecule: ribosomal RNA, 2948 nt
Organism: Desulfoplanes formicivorans
Lineage: Bacteria; Pseudomonadati; Thermodesulfobacteriota; Desulfovibrionia; Desulfovibrionales; Desulfoplanaceae
Rfam family: Bacterial large subunit ribosomal RNA
Source: Rfam
UAGUAAGAUAUCAAGGGCAAUUGGUGGAUGCCUAGGUGUCAGGAGGCGAAGAAGGACGUGGAAGGCUGCGAUAAGCCUCGGUGAGCCGUCAAACAGGCUUUGACCCGGGGAUUUCCGAAUGGGGGAACCCGUAUGGAGUAAUGUCCAUACACUCCAGACUGAAUACAUAGGUCUGUGAGAGCCAACCCGGGGAAGUGAAACAUCUCAGUACCCGGAGGAAAGGAAAUCAAAAGAGAUUCCCCAAGUAGCGGCGAGCGAACGGGGAUUAGCCCAAACCAUAUGGUUUCGACCAUAUGGGGUUGUAGGGCUCCGAUACGUGAUCCAGUGAUUAGAUAGCAGAACAGUCUGGAAAGGCUGACCAGAGACGGUGACAGUCCGGUACGCGAAAUCGAAAACGGCACACGGAGUACCUGAGUAGGGCGGGACACGAGAAAUCCCGUUUGAAUCUGGGAGGACCAUCUUCCAAGGCUAAAUACUACCUGACGACCGAUAGCGAACCAGUACCGUGAGGGAAAGGUGAAAAGAACCCCUGUUAGGGGAGUGCAAUAGAACCUGAAACCAAUUGCCUACAAGCAGUUCGAGCACACUAGUUGUGUGAGAGCGUGCCUUUUGCAUAAUGGGCCAGCGAGUUAAUCUGUAGUGCGAGGUUAAGCCGAGAGGUGUAGCCGUAGCGAAAGCGAGUCUUAACAGGGCGAGAUAGUACUGCGGAUUAGACCCGAAGCCGGGUGAUCUAUCCAUGAGCAGGCUGAAGCUUGAGUAAAAUCAAGUGGAGGGCCGAACCAUUGUAAGUUGAAAAUUACUUGGAUGACUUGUGGAUAGGGGUGAAAGGCCAAUCAAACCCGGUGAUAGCUGGUUCUCCCCGAAAUAUAUUGAGGUAUAGCCUCAGGCGUUUAUUAACGGAGGUAGAGCACUGACAGGGCUAGGGGUCCUACCAGAUUACCAAACCCUAUCAAACUCCGAAUACCGUUAAUUGAGAGCCUGGGAGUCAGACUACGGGUGAUAAGGUCCGUGGUCGAAAGGGAAACAGCCCAGACCAUCGGCUAAGGUCCCUAAAUCAUGCUAAGUGGGAAAGGAAGUGGAACCGUUAAGACAGCCAGGAGGUUGGCUUAGAAGCAGCCAUCCUUGAAAGAAAGCGUAAUAGCUCACUGGUCUAGUAGUUCUGCGCCGAAAAUGUAACGGGGCUAAGCAUGAUACCGAAGCCAUGGGAUUGAAGACUUGUCUUCGAUCGGUAGGGGAGCGUCCUCUUUUAGGAUGAAGAUAAACCGGAAGGUUUGUUGGACGGAAGAGGAGUGAAUAUGCUGGCAUGAGUAACGAUAAAACGGGUGAGAAACCCGUUCGCCGUAAACCCAAGGUUUCCAGGGUAAAGUUAAUCUUCCCUGGGUUAGUCGGCCCCUAAGGCGAGGCUGAAAAGCGUAGCUGAUGGGAAACAGGUUAAUAUUCCUGUACUUUGUGUACAUCGUUUGAGUGAAGGAGGGACGCAGGAGGGUAGGUCAUCCAUCUGUUGGACAUGAUGGUUCAAACCCGUAGGGAUGAUUCAUAGGCAAAUCCGUGAAUCUCUAUCCUGAGAGGUGAUGACGAGGCGCAAGCCGGAAGUGAUUGAGCCCAUGCUGCCGAGAAAAGCUUCUAAACGAGAUGUGCAUGAAACCGUACCGCAAACCAACACAGGUGGGUGGGAUGAGUAAUCCAAGGCGCUUGAGAGAACUCUGGUUAAGGAAUUCGGCAAAAUGACCCCGUAACUUCGGGAUAAGGGGUGCCACUUUUGGUGAUUAUAUUCACUGUAAGAGCUGAAAGUGGUCGCAGAGAAAUGGCGGUGGCGACUGUUUACUAAAAACAUAGGGCUAUGCUAAGUCGUAAGACGCUGUAUAUGGCCUGACGCCUGCCCGGUGCCGGAAGGUUAAGAGGAGGGGUUAUCCUUCGGGAAAAGCUCUGAAUUGAAGCCCCGGUAAACGGCGGCCGUAACUAUAACGGUCCUAAGGUAGCGAAAUUCCUUGUCGGGUAAGUUCCGACCUGCACGAAUGGCGUAACGAUCUCCGCACUGUCUCAACCAGAGACUCAGUGAAAUUGAAUUCUCGGUGAAGAUGCCGAGUACCCGCAGAAAGACGGAAAGACCCUGUGCACCUUUACUACAGCUUGACAUUGGAUUUUGGAUUAGCAUGUGUAGGAUAGGUGGGAGACUAUGAAGCAGGCACGCCAGUGUUUGUGGAGUCGCCCUUGAAAUACCACCCUUGCUAAUCUAGGGUUCUAAUCCAUAGCCGUUAACCGGCAUGGAGACAUUGUCUGGUGGGUAGUUUGACUGGGGCGGUCGCCUCCUAAAGAGUAACGGAGGCGUGCAAAGGUUCCCUCAGGCUGAUUGGAAACCAGCCGUUGAGUGCAAACGCAUAAGGGAGCUUGACUGUGAGAGAGACAUCUCGAUCAGGUACGAAAGUAGGUGUUAGUGAUCCGGUGGUCCCGCAUGGAAGGGCCAUCGCUCAUCGGAUAAAAGGUACGCCGGGGAUAACAGGCUGAUCGCAUCCAAGAGUUCACAUCGACGAUGCGGUUUGGCACCUCGAUGUCGGCUCAUCACAUCCUGGGGCUGGAGCAGGUCCCAAGGGUACGGCUGUUCGCCGUUUAAAGUGGUACGCGAGCUGGGUUUAAAACGUCGUGAGACAGUUUGGUCCCUAUCUUCUGUGGGCGUAGGAUAUUUGAGAGGGGCUGCCCCUAGUACGAGAGGACCGGGGUGGACGAUCCUCUGGUGGACCUGUUGUCGCGCCAGCGGCAUAGCAGGGUAGCUACGAUCGGCAAAGAUAACCGCUGAAAGCAUCUAAGCGGGAAACUUGCCUCAAGAUUAGAUAUCCCUCAUCUUCGGAUGACUGAAGGUCCCUUGAAGACUACAAGGUAGAUAGGCCGGGUGUGUAAGCGCAGCAAUGCGUUCAGCUGACCGGUACUAAUAGACCGCGCGUCUUCUUUGC